RNAcentral lists this ribosomal RNA (624 nucleotides) under Secundilactobacillus paracollinoides. RNAcentral describes it as "bacterial SSU rRNA". It matches the Rfam family "Bacterial small subunit ribosomal RNA", at positions 57 to 649 of the family's 1533-position model. The record is from RNAcentral. Lineage: Bacteria; Bacillati; Bacillota; Bacilli; Lactobacillales; Lactobacillaceae.
GCAGUCGAACGCAUCCCGUUAAAUGAAGUGCUUGCACGGAUUUUAACAUCGGAUGAGUGGCGAACUGGUGAGUAACACGUGGGUAACCUGCCCAGAAGCAGGGGAUAACACUUGGAAACAGGUGCUAAUACCGUAUAACAACAAAAACCGCAUGGUUUUUGUUUGAAAGGUGGUUUCGGCUAUCACUUCUGGAUGGACCCGCGGCGUAUUAGCUAGUUGGUGGAGUAACGGUUCACCAAGGCAAUGAUACGUAGCCGACCUGAGAGGGUAAUCGGCCACAUUGGGACUGAGACACGGCCCAAACUCCUACGGGAGGCAGCAGUAGGGAAUCUUCCACAAUGGACGAAAGUCUGAUGGAGCAACGCCGCGUGAGUGAAGAAGGUUUUCGGAUCGUAAAACUCUGUUGUUGAAGAAGAACACGUUUGAGAGUAACUGUUCAGACGUUGACGGUAUUCAACCAGAAAGCCACGGCUAACUACGUGCCAGCAGCCGCGGUAAUACGUAGGUGGCAAGCGUUAUCCGGAUUUAUUGGGCGUAAAGCGAGCGCAGGCGGUUACUUAAGUCUGAUGUGAAAGCCUUCGGCUUAACCGGAGAAGUGCAUCGGAAACUGGGUAACUUGAGUGC